AACUUCGUGCCAGCAGCCGCGGUAAUACGAAGGGACCUAGCGUAGUUCGGAAUUACUGGGCUUAAAGAGUUCGUAGGUGGUUGAAAAAGUUGGUGGUGAAAUCCCAGAGCUUAACUCUGGAACUGCCAUCAAAACUUUUCAGCUAGAGUUUGAUAGAGGAAAGCAGAAUUUCUAGUGUAGAGGUGAAAUUCGUAGAUAUUAGAAAGAAUACCAAUUGCGAAGGCAGCUUUCUGGAUCAUUACUGACACUGAGGAACGAAAGCAUGGGUAGCGAAGAGGAUUAGAUACCCUCGUAGUCCAUGCUGUAAACGAUGUGUGUUAGACGUUGGAAAUUUAUUUUCAGUGUCGCAGCGAAAGCGAUAAACACACCGCCUGGGGAGUACGACCGCAAGGUUAAAACUCAAAUGAAUUGACGGGGACCCGCACAAGUAGUGGAGCAUGUGGUUUAAUUCGAAGAUACGCGCAGAACCUUACCAACACUUGACAUGUUCGUCGCGACUUUAAGAGAUUAAAGUUUUCGGUUCGGCCGGACGAAACACAGGUGCUGCAUGGCUGUCGUCAGCUCGUGUCGUGAGAUGUUGGGUUAAGUCCCGCAACGAGCGCAACCCUCACUUUUAGUUGCCAUCAUUUAGUUGGGCACUCUGAAAGAACUGCCAGUGAUAAGCUGGAGGAAGGUGGGGAUGACGUCAAGUCCUCAUGGCCCUUACGUGUUGGGCUACACACGUGCUACAAUGGUAUCUACAACAGGAAGCAAGACAGCGAUGUUAAGCAAAUCCUUAAAAGAUACCUCAGUUCGGA
RNAcentral lists this ribosomal RNA (797 nucleotides) under marine metagenome. RNAcentral describes it as "bacterial SSU rRNA". It matches the Rfam family "Bacterial small subunit ribosomal RNA", at positions 499 to 1297 of the family's 1533-position model. The record is from RNAcentral.